This 638-nucleotide ribosomal RNA is filed under the name uncultured bacterium. Its description in RNAcentral is "bacterial SSU rRNA". It matches the Rfam family "Bacterial small subunit ribosomal RNA", at positions 232 to 885 of the family's 1533-position model. The record is from RNAcentral.
CGCGGCCUAUCAGCUUGUUGGCGGGGUAAUGGCCCACCAAGGCAACGACGGGUAGCUGGUCUGAGAGGAUGGUCAGCCACACUGGGACUGAGACACGGCCCAGACUCCUACGGGAGGCAGCAGUAGGGAAUCUUGCGCAAUGGGCGAAAGCCUGACGCAGCAACGCCGCGUGCGGGAAGAAGGCUUUCGGGCUGUAAACCGCUUUCAGCAGGAACGAAAAUGACGGUACCUGCAGAAGAAGGAGCGGCCAACUAUGUGCCAGCAGCCGCGGUGAUACAUAGGCUUCAAGCGUUGUCCGGAUUUAUUGGGCGUAAAGAGUUCGUAGGCGGUCGAGUAAGUCGGGUGUGAAAAUUCUGGGCUCAACCCAGAGACGCCACCCGAUACUGCUUAACUUGAGUUCGAUAGGGGAGUGGGGAAUUCCUAGUGUAGCGGUGAAAUGCGCAGAUAUUAGGAGGAACACCGGUGGCGAAGGCGCCACUCUGGAUCGACACUGACGCUGAGGAACGAAAGCAUGGGUAGCAAACAGGAUUAGAUACCCUGGUAGUCCAUGCGGUAAACGGUGGGCACUAGGUGUGGGUUUCUAUUAACGAAAUCCGCGCCGUCGCUAACGCAUUAAGUGCCCCGCCUGGGGAGUACGG